Molecule: long non-coding RNA, 1627 nt
Organism: Megalobrama amblycephala (Wuchang bream)
Lineage: Eukaryota; Metazoa; Chordata; Actinopteri; Cypriniformes; Xenocyprididae
Exons: 3
Source: RefSeq, a predicted model, not a curated record
UCCAAGCAUCGUGCUUUUUACGUUAGGCCCACAAAAAUGGCUAUUUAUGACACAUUUAAGAAAGAAACACGGCUAGAAAAAGUUGACAGGAUGCCUUAACAACUUGGCACUUCUGUCUUUUGAAAGAGAACUAACAGAUAAUUGAAAUUACGACGUGUUAUCAACAUCUUAAAUUCAAAACCCAGCCGACAACGACUUGUUUAGAACAGACAUCAACUAUACAAGAUGAGUUGGAAUUACCCUGGAUUCAUUUAUUAACUGAACAUGGGAUGGAGUUUAGCACACUAAAUGAUUGGAGAAGUCCUGCAUACAUCACCAGAGAGAGGAGAGUUGUUUCAUUUUAAUUAUACAUUACAAGGUCAAAAACUUUUUAACAAAGGAAACAUACGGGAGGCAUAUGGAUGAGUUGUUCACAAUGAGAUCCAUAACAUGCAUUUAAAAAAAAAAAAUUGUGUGAAUUUUCUUUUUAUUUCAACUUUAACAACCAAUAGAUAAAAUCAAGUCCAGUCUCAUGUUUAUUCUUGUUCGAUAAGCUGUUUCACUCACAAAGUAUGUUACACUAUGCAUGUAAAAAUGGAUGAUAACUUCUAUUUUAUGACAACUUCAAACUCGGGGUUAGUUGUAAUAAAAUGCAUUAAACAUCACUGAAAUAGGUUUAAAAUUUGUCUAAGAAAAUAAAUUCUUUGACAGAUCUCCAUUGAUUUUUAUAUAAGAUCUACACUGAUUUUAUGCACAACUGCUGCUUCACCUGAUUUCUUUUGGAUCGGUGAGGAAAAGUUCUAUGGAUGCUGCAUAUGAAAAAUCCAAAAGGCAUGGUAAUCAUCUCACUAAUGGUAAUAGAGCUGGACAGAAUGGGAGGAUUCUUGUCUUUAGCGGCAAGAGAGGGCAGUAGUGAUCUGUGCUGAGUGAUCUGCUGAAGACUGAUGAAUCUCCUUUACAUGAUUAAGUUACACAAUUUAAAUUUGCAAGCAAUAUUCAUCAACAAACAUGACAUUCUCAUAAUAGCUGGUGAGACAUAAUCAAAUAAUUGCUAAAGGAAACUAUUAGCAAUUUUUUUCUGAUAUGUGACAGCUUAAAAGGUUUGGUCAGAUCAGAUUGUGUUAUCAGCUGUUAUUUGCACAAGAUUUUACUGUGUGUCCGGCCAUUUCAUCGGAGAGCAUCCUUCAUAAAACCAUUGUUACGUAAAUUGUUGUAUUACAUUCAGUGCAAGGAUGGUUUUGCGAAAGAUUGUGUGAACAACUCAGUUGAUGAGGAAUAAAAAAUCUUGGUUUUAUACACCACACUGUCAAUAUCACAAAUGAAUGCUCCUUUUUACUUGCGUACAUAGGUAAGUGCUAUGUGAAAGUGGAUAAAGACCUUGGCUUGCUAUGUCAGCCAGUAAUGGAUUGACUCAGUUAGCGGAUGAUGCUUCAGAUGUCUUAUUAAUCUCUAUUGGCUUUAGCAUCUGAGCUCAGUAAGCCAGAAUCCAUUAGGGUUUGGAAAACAGGGCAUCUAUCCAUGAUUUAACAGUCAUGGCCAUCACACAUUUUCUCACAACACAUCUAUAUAUGUCUAGUUAAGAAAGCCUGCAACCACAGCUUGUUUGACGAAGUGGAAAUUUAGUUGCACACAGUCAUUGUGCAGUUAU